UGAGGAAUAUUGCACAAUGGGGGAAACCCUGAUGCAGCAACGCCGCGUGGAGGAUGACGCAUUUCGGUGUGUAAACUCCUUUUAUGAGUCAAGAAAAUGACGGUAGCUCAUGAAUAAGCACCGGCUAACUCCGUGCCAGCAGCCGCGGUAAUACGGAGGGUGCAAGCGUUACUCGGAAUCACUGGGCGUAAAGGACACGUAGGCGGGUUGGUAAGUCAGAUGUGAAAUCCUACAGCUUAACUGUAGAACUGCAUUUGAAACUACUGACCUAGAGUAUGGGAGGGGGAGAUGGAAUUAGUGGUGUAGGGGUAAAAUCCGUAGAUAUCACUAGGAAUACCCAAAGCGAAGGCGAUCUCCUGGAACAUUACUGACGCUAAGGUGUGAAAGCGUGGGGAGCAAACG
RNAcentral lists this ribosomal RNA (402 nucleotides) under uncultured bacterium. Its description in RNAcentral is "bacterial SSU rRNA". It matches the Rfam family "Bacterial small subunit ribosomal RNA", at positions 355 to 774 of the family's 1533-position model. The record is from RNAcentral.